RNAcentral lists this ribosomal RNA (547 nucleotides) under uncultured bacterium. RNAcentral's name for it is "bacterial SSU rRNA". It matches the Rfam family "Bacterial small subunit ribosomal RNA", at positions 355 to 896 of the family's 1533-position model. The record is from RNAcentral.
UGGGGAAUAUUGCGCAAUGGGGGGAACCCUGACGCAGCCAUGCCGCGUGAAUGAAGAAGGCCUUCGGGUUGUAAAGUUCUUUCGGUAUUGAGGAAGGUUGAUGUGUUAAUAGCACAUCAAAUUGACGUUAAAUACAGAAGAAGCACCGGCUAACUCCGUGCCAGCAGCCGCGGUAAUACGGAGGGUGCGAGCGUUAAUCGGAAUAACUGGGCGUAAAGGGCACGCAGGCGGUUAUUUAAGUGAGGUGUGAAAGCCCUGGGCUUAACCUAGGAAUUGCAUUUCAGACUGGGUAACUAGAGUACUUUAGGGAGGGGUAGAAUUCCACGUGUAGCGGUGAAAUGCGUAGAGAUGUGGAGGAAUACCGAAGGCGAAGGCAGCCCCUUGGGAAUGUACUGACGCUCAUGUGCGAAAGCGUGGGGAGCAAACAGGAUUAGAUACCCUGGUAGUCCACGCUGUAAACGCUGUCGAUUUGGGGGUUGGGGUUUAACUCUGGCGCCCGUAACUAACGUGAUAAAUCGACCGCCUGGGGAGUACGGCCGCAAGGUUA